UACGGGGGGGGGCAAGCGUUGUUCGGAAUUACUGGGCGUAAAGGGCUCGUAGGCGGCCAACUAAGUCGGACGUGAAAGCCCUCGGCUUAACCGAGGAACUGCGUCCGAUACUGGAUGGCUUGAGGUUGGGAGAGGGAUGCGGAAUUCCAGGUGUAGCGGUGAAAUGCGUAGAUAUCUGGAGGAACACCGGUGGCGAAGGCGGCAUCCUGGACCAAUUCUGACGCUGAGUGAGCGAAAGCCAGGGGAGCAAACGGG
Molecule: ribosomal RNA, 255 nt
Filed under: uncultured bacterium
Lineage: Bacteria
Description: partial 16S ribosomal RNA
Rfam family: Bacterial small subunit ribosomal RNA
Source: RNAcentral